AUGGAUGCCAGACGACCUGGAUCUCAGCUAAAGGGCAGUAUUCCAGCUACUGAACUUUCAGCAAGUGAAUCUCUUGAAAGUCAUAAUCUUCAGAAAGUGUUUUUUGUGUGUGUAAAAAAUGAACUUUUAGCUAGUCAUCCUCUUGAAUUUUCAGAAGAGAAUUUCCAACUCAACCGAGAUAAAAUGAAUAUUCCCACAGUGAGAAACAUUUAGUGGUUAUUUGCUCCACUAAAAUUAUAAAUCGAAAUUUAAGGCAGUGCAGCAGGUUCGAUGUCUUCCAUUUCUUUUGAGCUCAAACCUUUCACUGGAUAUUUUGAGGGGUAAUGAAGAGACUACCAGAUUUGAAGCUAUUCUUAUCUGUCACAAAGUGAAGUAAUGGGAGAAUGACACUUGGUGGAAUAUAAACUCAGUUUACUG
RNAcentral lists this long non-coding RNA (417 nucleotides) under Homo sapiens (human). Its description in RNAcentral is "non-protein coding lnc-RPS6KA6-5:1". The record is from RNAcentral. Lineage: Eukaryota; Metazoa; Chordata; Mammalia; Primates; Hominidae.